This 848-nucleotide ribosomal RNA is filed under the name uncultured bacterium. Its description in RNAcentral is "bacterial SSU rRNA". It matches the Rfam family "Bacterial small subunit ribosomal RNA", at positions 51 to 890 of the family's 1533-position model. The record is from RNAcentral.
ACACAUGCAAGUCGAGGGGCAUCAGUUUGGUUUGCUUGCAAACCAAAGCUGGCGACCGGCGCACGGGUGAGUAACACGUAUCCAACCUGCCUCAUACUCGGGGAUAGCCUUUCGAAAGAAAGAUUAAUAUCCGAUAGCAUAUAUUUCCCGCAUGGGUUUUAUAUUAAAGAAAUUCGGUAUGAGAUGGGGAUGCGUUCCAUUAGUUUGUUGGCGGGGUAACGGCCCACCAAGACUACGAUGGAUAGGGGUUCUGAGAGGAAGGUCCCCCACAUUGGAACUGAGACACGGUCCAAACUCCUACGGGAGGCAGCAGUGAGGAAUAUUGGUCAAUGGGCGAGAGCCUGAACCAGCCAAGUAGCGUGAAGGAUGACCGCCCUAUGGGUUGUAAACUUCUUUUAUAUGGGAAUAAAGGGUGCCACGUGUGGCAUUUUGUAUGUACCAUAUGAAUAAGGAUCGGCUAACUCCGUGCCAGCAGCCGCGGUAAUACGGAGGAUCCGAGCGUUAUCCGGAUUUAUUGGGUUUAAAGGGAGCGUAGGUGGACAUGUAAGUCAGUUGUGAAAGUUUGCGGCUCAACCGUAAAAUUGCAGUUGAAACUGCGUGUCUUGAGUACAGUAGAGGUGGGCGGAAUUCGUGGUGUAGCGGUGAAAUGCUUAGAUAUCACGAAGAACUCCGAUUGCGAAGGCAGCUCACUGGACUGCAACUGACACUGAUGCUCGAAAGUGUGGGUAUCAAACAGGAUUAGAUACCCUGGUAGUCCACACAGUAAACGAUGAAUACUCGCUGUUUGCGAUAUACAGUAAGCGGCCAAGCGAAAGCAUUAAGUAUUCCACCUGGGGAGUACGCCGGCA